GGAGAGGUCGCGUAGUCUGGCUUAGCGCGCUCGCUUGGAAAGCGUGUAACCUGCAAGGGUUCGCGGGUUCAAAUCCCGCCCUCUCCGCCA
Molecule: transfer RNA, 90 nt
Filed under: Chloroflexi bacterium HGW-Chloroflexi-6
Lineage: Bacteria; Bacillati; Chloroflexota
Description: tRNA-Ser
Rfam family: tRNA
About the family: Transfer RNA (tRNA) molecules are approximately 80 nucleotides in length. Their secondary structure includes four short double-helical elements and three loops (D, anti-codon, and T loops).
Source: RNAcentral